RNAcentral lists this ribosomal RNA (460 nucleotides) under uncultured bacterium. RNAcentral's name for it is "partial 16S ribosomal RNA". It matches the Rfam family "Bacterial small subunit ribosomal RNA", at positions 338 to 795 of the family's 1533-position model. The record is from RNAcentral.
CCUACGGGUGGCUGCAGUGAGGAAUAUUGGUCAAUGGGCGCGAGCCUGAACCAGCCAAGUAGCAUGAAGGAUGACUGCCCUACGGGUUGUAAACUUCUUUUAUAAAGGAAUAAAGUGAGGCACGUGUGCCUUUUUGUAUGUACCUUAUGAAUAAGGAUCGGCUAACUCCGUGCCAGCAGCCGCGGUAAUACGGAGGAUCCGAGCGUUAUCCGGAUUUAUUGGGUUUAAAGGGAGCGUAGAUGGGUUGUUAAGUCAGUGGUGAAAGUUUGUGGCUCAACCGUAAAAUUGCAAUUGAUACUGGCAGUCUGGAGUACAGUUGAGGUAGGCGGAAUGCGUGGUGUAGCGGUGAAAUGCUUAGAGAUCACGAAGAACUCCGAUUGCGAAGGCAGCUUACUAAGCUGCCACUGACAUUGAUGCACGAAAGUGUGGGGAUCAAACAGGAUUAGACACCCGUGUAGUC